AAUUCUUUGUUCUUUGAUCAUUUACUAUAAUAACCCUGUUAAAGUUUGUUUUGAAUACAAUCGUCAAUGUACAUGUAGAAGCAUGUGUAAACAUGAUAUAUAUCGGAAAGAUAGUCUUUAGAUUCAUAAUACACAAGUUACUCGAGAAAGCUAUGAUGGAAGGCAACACUGUCCCAGAGAGAGAGAAACAGCCGCUGUUACCAAAGAAACAACACCCCCAGGCAAGACCACAGGCUCCCCAGCUGUACCGCCAACAGGUGAGAGAGACUGUGCUGGUGACAAGAGAGCCUAUAGUUGGCGUGUACACAUACAGACAGCCUAACAUUCCCACUUGGAUUGGGUCCGAAUACGUUGUCUACGCCUCAGUGCUCACUAUGCUCUUUUGUGGCAUUCUGCCAGGAGUUGUGGCUCUGCUCUUCGCAUGGGAGGCUCGCAGCAAGAGGGAGACUGGACAAAUUGAAGAGGCCAGAUCAUGGACCGUGGGGGCCAUUCUCUGCAAUGCACUUGCUUUCACACUGGGUUCGUCUGCCAUUGUGUUUAUCUCUGUGUACUACGGCGCCAUGUACAGCUGAGCAAACUUGAACUUAACACUACAUUCAGUAGUUUUAAAAGGACAACACAUUCAAUGAUUUAUACCAUGCACACAUAAGUAUGCAACAACAAGGACUUCUUACUACAGAAUACAUACAUAAUUAUACUGUAUACAACGUAAUACAUACUAAAGUUGUGUACAGUGCAGUUGUUGCUUAUAGUGCAUGCCAAAGAUUUUCUAAACAAUUACAACUACAGAGGAGUUAUU
Halichondria panicea is the source of this 799-nucleotide long non-coding RNA. RefSeq lists it as uncharacterized. The transcript has 3 exons. The record is from RefSeq and is a predicted model, not a curated record. Lineage: Eukaryota; Metazoa; Porifera; Demospongiae; Suberitida; Halichondriidae.